AGCAGGCGCGUAAAUUGCCCGAAUCCUGACACAGGGUGGUAGUGACAAGAAAUAACAAUACAGGGCUACAUCUAGUCUUGUAAUUGGAAUGAGUACAAUUUACAUCUCUUCACGAGGAUCAAUUGGAGGGCAAGUCUGGUGCCAGCAGCCGCGGUAAUUCCAGCUCCAAUAGCGUAUAUUAAAGUUGUUGCAGUUAGAACGCUCGUAGUCGGAUUUCGGGGCGGGCCGACCGGUCUGCCGAUGGGUAUGCACUGGCCGGCGCGUCCUUCCUUCCGGAGACCGUGCCUACUCUUAACUGAGCGGGGGCGGGAGACGGAACGUUUACUUUGAAAAAAUCAGAGUGUUUCAAGCAGGCAGCUCGCUCUUGCAUGGAUUAGCAUGGGAUAGUGAAAUAGGACUUUGGUGCUAUUUUGUUGGUUUCGAACACCGAAGUAAUGAUGAGAAGGGACAGUCAGGGGCGCUCGUACUCCGCCGAGAGAGGUGAAAUUCUCAGACCAGCGGAAGACGAACCACUGCGAAAGCAUUUGCCAGGGAUGUUUUCACUGAUCAAGAACGAAAGUUAGGGGAUCGAAGACGAUCAGAUACCGUCGUAGUCUUAACCAUAAACCAUACCGACUAGGGAUUGGGGGAUGUUCACUGAUUGACUCUCUCAGCACCUUACGGGAAACUAAAGUCUUUGGGUUCCGGGGGGAGUAUGGUCGCAAGGCUGAAACUUAAAGGAAUUGACGGAAGGGCACCACCAGGUGUGGAGCCUGCGGCUUAAUUUGACUCAACACGGGGAAACUUACCAGGUCCAGACAUUGUGAGGAUUGACAGAUUGAGAGCUCUUUCUUGAUUUGAUGGGUGGUGGUGCAUGGCCGUUCCUAGUUGGUGGAGUGAUUUGUCUGGUUAAUUCCGUUAACGAACGAGACCUUAGCCUGCUAAAUAGUGACGCGAACACUUCGUUCGCGGGCCACUUCUUAGAGGGACAACUUGUCUUCAACAAGUGGAAGUUUGAGGCAAUAACAGGUCUGUGAUGCCCUUAGAUGUUCUGGGCCGAACGCGCGCUACACUGAUGCACUCAACGAGUCUCCACCUCGACCGAAAGGUCUGGGAAAUCUUUGAACUUGCAUCGUGAUGGGGAUAGAUUAUUGCAACUAUUAAUCUUCAACGAGGAAUACCUAGUAGGCGCAUGUCAUCAGCGCGCGUUGA
RNAcentral lists this ribosomal RNA (1191 nucleotides) under Haptophyta environmental samples. RNAcentral's name for it is "SSU rRNA". It matches the Rfam family "Eukaryotic small subunit ribosomal RNA", at positions 427 to 1644 of the family's 1831-position model. The record is from RNAcentral. Lineage: Eukaryota; Haptophyta.